AGAGACAGCAGCAGCCGCGGGAAUACCGAGGGUGCGAGCGUUAAUCGGAUUUACUGGGCGUAAAGCGUGCGUAGGCGGCUUCUUAAGUCGGAUGUGAAAUCCCUGAGCUUAACUUAGGAAUUGCAUUCGAUACUGGGAAGCUAGAGUAUGGGAGAGGAUGGUAGAAUUCCAGGUGUAGCGGUGAAAUGCGUAGAGAUCUGGAGGAAUACCGAUGGCGAAGGCAGCCAUCUGGCCUAAUACUGACGCUGAGGUACGAAAGCAUGGGGAGCAAACAGGAUUAGAUACCCGCGUAGUCCCUGUCUCUUAUAC
RNAcentral lists this ribosomal RNA (309 nucleotides) under uncultured bacterium. RNAcentral describes it as "partial 16S ribosomal RNA". It matches the Rfam family "Bacterial small subunit ribosomal RNA", at positions 504 to 807 of the family's 1533-position model. The record is from RNAcentral.